ACAUUCGGUUAUCUCUAACGUUGGAAAACGGUGGGUAGCUUUCCAGUUGCCGUUAAUUUAGAAAAUAAGCAAAACGUGUUGAAAAAAUAAAACCCUGCCAGAUGGAGCUAACACCCAUUAUGGAGAUUAACCACUUUUCAUCAGGUUUUUAACUUAAGUCGUGAGGAAUACAACGGUGAACACAAGAUUCAUUUUAUUUUCAUCACCAUGGGACGUAUCCUGUUGUUGAGUUCUCUGGGUCAGACCUCUGAAGACUUCUCAGAUGGAUCCUAGUCUCUGGGCUUGCCCUGAAAUUACUCGCUGCUCAGGGAGAGAGUUGAAAUGGUUGGCAUCCUCCCACUCUGUUGCUCCGGCUGUGUCCCCUCGCUCUGUUGUUCCAGCUAUGUGCCCUCUGUUGCUCCAACUGCAGCUCAUUCUGUUAGAGUUCCUCAUUCAGCUGGUCACUGUGGCCAGAGGGUGUUGGCCUGCUCCCUUCCUCAAGUAUUCUUAAAGCCAUGGAUUUUUGUGGAGCAUUUUUCUUCCUGGCUCUCCCUUGAGUUAUUUUCCUUUCUUCGCUAUCUUGGGACUCUUCUUUGUGCUUGCGGUCAUCGGUUGAGAGAAGGACUUCUUCUUCCUUGUCUCCUUGGUGUUGGCUCGUGGUUGCUCUUCAACAACUGGACUGGAGGCUCUUGGUUUUCUCUUCAUCUUCAACAAGUCAGUCUCUCUCAAGGGUCUCACGUUGCAGCAUUCUUACCAGAGGCCAUUGGGCCUGGAGUUCCAGUUCCAGUGUCUGGAGAGUCCACCUCAGCUCAGCAAUCUCAUGCCGGUUGGCAAUUGUCAGCAGAAGCCGAUGCCUGCCCAUCAGUUCUUUACUCUGAGGUGUUAGAGUGGAAUAAAAAUAUAAAUACUUAUACUAGUUUUCAUGACUUCUGCUUAAUAUUGGGUAUUUUUUUGUUUUGUUUUGUUUUGGCGGUGAUAGGCUUACCUUACAUUAAACCAGGCCUUAGCCUUUCUGUGGCUUUGUUAUGGCAAAGCCUCAUAUUACUCUCUAGUCUGGUUCAGCAGGACAGUCAGGUCCACACCUGGGGCUGUUUGUUUUCUACGUUUACCUCAACAUAAGGUACCUUAUCAUUGUCAGCCUUCAUCUCCUGAUCCAAAAUAAAAUAAAAUGCCACAGGUUACUUG
RNAcentral lists this long non-coding RNA (1164 nucleotides) under Homo sapiens (human). Lineage: Eukaryota; Metazoa; Chordata; Mammalia; Primates; Hominidae. The record is from RNAcentral.